AACGAACGCUGGCGGCGUGGAUAAGACAUGCAAGUCGAACGGGAUCAUUGGAGUAGCAAUACAACAGUGGUCUAGUGGCGAACGGGUGCGUAACACGUGGAUACAUUCCGGGAAGCGGGGGAUAGCCCAGGGAAACUUGGAUUAAUACCGCAUGUGGUCGAAAGACUAAAGGCAGGGACCGCAAGGCCUGCCACUUCCCGAUUGGUCCGCGGCCUAUCAGCUAGUUGGCGGGGUAAAAGCCCACCAAGGCUACGACGGGUAGCUGGUCUUAGAGGACGACCAGCCACACUGGAACUGAGACACGGUCCAGACACCUACGGGUGGCAGCAGUCGAGAAUCUUUCACAAUGGGGGCAACCCUGAUGGAGCGACGCCGCGUGGAGGAUAAGGUCUUCGGAUUGUAAACUCCUGUCAUGUGUGAACAAGGCUGUCGUGUUAAUAGCAUGGCAGAUUGAUGGUAACACAAGAGGAAGAGAACGGGCUAAACUCUGUGCCAGCAGCC
RNAcentral lists this ribosomal RNA (501 nucleotides) under uncultured bacterium. RNAcentral describes it as "bacterial SSU rRNA". It matches the Rfam family "Bacterial small subunit ribosomal RNA", at positions 29 to 516 of the family's 1533-position model. The record is from RNAcentral.